RNAcentral lists this ribosomal RNA (500 nucleotides) under uncultured bacterium. RNAcentral's name for it is "partial 16S ribosomal RNA". It matches the Rfam family "Bacterial small subunit ribosomal RNA", at positions 30 to 523 of the family's 1533-position model. The record is from RNAcentral.
AUUGAACGCUGGCGGCUUGCUUCACACAUGCAAGUCGAACGGUAACAGGGUGCUUGCACCGCUGACGAGUGGCGAACGGGUGAGUAAUGCGUCGGAACGUGCCGAGUAGUGGGGGAUGACGCAGCGAAAGUUGUGCUAAUACCGCAUACGUACUGAGGUAGAAAGUGGGGGACCUUCGGGCCUCACGCUAUUCGAGCGGCCGACGUCUGAUUAGCUAGUAGGUGAGGUAAAGGCUCACCUAGGCGACGAUCAGUAGCGGGUCUGAGAGGAUGAUCCGCCACACUGGGACUGAGACACGGCCCAGACUCCCACGGGAGGCAGCAGUUGGGAAUUUUGGACAAUGGGCGAAAGCCUGAUCCAGCCAUGCCGCGUGUCUGAAGAAGGCCUUCGGGUUGUAAAGGACUUUUGUCAGGGAGGAAAUCCCUAGUGCUAAUAACACUGGGGGAUGACAGUACCUGAAGAAUAAGCACCGGCUAACUACGUGCCAGCCGCCGCGGUAA